CCGAACUGUCAACAUGAGUUGCUGCUGGUCCCCAAACCGGGGGCAUGUGCACGCUCUGUUUACACAUCCACCCACACCUGUGCACCCUCUGUAGUUCUAUGGCCUGGGUGACUUUGUCCCCUUGCGGUGGUUCUACGUAUUUACACACACACUGCCAUAAAGUCUCAUGGAAUGUUUGUCGCGUUUAACGCAAUACAAUA
RNAcentral lists this unclassified non-coding RNA (200 nucleotides) under uncultured Thelephoraceae. Its description in RNAcentral is "sequence contains ITS1". Lineage: Eukaryota; Fungi; Basidiomycota; Agaricomycetes; Thelephorales; Thelephoraceae. The record is from RNAcentral.